AAGGAGACAACCUUGGACUACUUGGUGAGUAUGCCAGAGACGGACUGUACUUGGCUGACUGCGGGUUGUAACUUGGAGAGGUAGGGCUAUAGCUUGGUGAUGUGGGACUGUAACUUGGUGAGGUUGGACUGUACCCAGGAGAAGUGGGGCUAUAAGCGGGUGAAGUGGGGCUAUAUGAAGGAGAUGUGGGGCUAUAGGAAGGAGAUGUGGGGCUGUACGAAGGAGAUGUGGGGCUGUAUGAUGGAGAUGUGGGGCUGUACGAUGGAGAAGUGGGGCUAUAUGCAGGAGAAGUGGGGCUAUAUGCAGGAGAAGUGGGGCUAUAUACGGGUGAAGUGGGGCUGUAGCUAGGUGAAGUGGGACUGUAACUGGGGGAUGUGGGACUGUAACUUGGAGAUGUAGGGCUGUAACUUGGAGAGGUAGGGCUAUAGCUUGGUGAGGUUGGAGAAUAUGAGGGGCUGGUAGGAGAGUAGGCUGGACUUGUCGGACUGUAUCCUGGUGAGCUAGGACUGUAAGUAGGUGAUGUGGGGCUGUAACCAGGAGAGGUGGGACUGUACCCAGGAGAUGUAGGACUGUAACCAGGAGAGGUAGGACUGUAACCAGGUGAUGACGGACUGUAUCCAGGAGAUGAUGGGCUGUAACCGGGGGAUGACGUAGGAGAGAAUGCCAUUCCACCAACAUAAGGCGAGAACUGUGCAUCUGAAAUGGGUGAGAGACGGAGAUUUGGGCUCAGCAAGUAACUUGGAGACAUCAUGCCUUCAUGAUAAGGAGUUCCUGACACUGGAGAACGUGCAGGUGUCAUGCCAAAUUCCAGACCUUCCAUGUAACUAGGUAGCUGAAGUUCAAUGGCAUUCUUCAACAUCUCAUCAUUGAGAUACAAGGCACAGUCUCCCGUGCCAAUUGGUGCAAGCUGGCCCAACAUUAUAUUCUCUGUUACACCCCUCAAAUAAUCCGACUCGGCAUAAACAGCAGCAUCAAGGAGAAUAU
RNAcentral lists this long non-coding RNA (984 nucleotides) under Gossypium raimondii (Peruvian cotton). RNAcentral's name for it is "long non-coding RNA (GRAI_LNC005325)". Lineage: Eukaryota; Viridiplantae; Streptophyta; Magnoliopsida; Malvales; Malvaceae. The record is from RNAcentral.